Molecule: ribosomal RNA, 450 nt
Filed under: bacterium
Lineage: Bacteria
Description: bacterial SSU rRNA
Rfam family: Bacterial small subunit ribosomal RNA
Source: RNAcentral
UGCACCUCUUGAGAGCGGCGGACGGGUGAGUAAUGCCUAGGAAUCUGCCUGGUAGUGGGGGAUAACGCUCGGAAACGGACGCUAAUACCGCAUACGUCCUACGGGAGAAAGCAGGGGACCUUCGGGCCUUGCGCUAUCAGAUGAGCCUAGGUCGGAUUAGCUAGUUGGUGAGGUAAUGGCUCACCAAGGCGACGAUCCGUAACUGGUCUGAGAGGAUGAUCAGUCACACUGGAACUGAGACACGGUCCAGACUCCUACGGGAGGCAGCAGUGGGGAAUAUUGGACAAUGGGCGAAAGCCUGAUCCAGCCAUGCCGCGUGUGUGAAGAAGGUCUUCGGAUUGUAAAGCACUUUAAGUUGGGAGGAAGGGCAGUUACCUAAUACGUAAUUGUUUUGACGUUACCGACAGAAUAAGCACCGGCUAACUCUGUGCCAGCAGCCGCGGUAAUACA